GCCUUCGUGGUGUAAUGGUAGCACACUCGGCGCAUAUUCGAGAGGCCCAGGUUCGAGUCCCGGCGAUGGCA
This 71-nucleotide transfer RNA is filed under the name Stegodyphus mimosarum. It matches the Rfam family "tRNA". Rfam says of the family: Transfer RNA (tRNA) molecules are approximately 80 nucleotides in length. Their secondary structure includes four short double-helical elements and three loops (D, anti-codon, and T loops). Further hydrogen bonds mediate the characteristic L-shaped molecular structure. tRNAs have two regions of fundamental functional importance: the anti-codon, which is responsible for specific mRNA codon recognition, and the 3' end, to which the tRNAs corresponding amino acid is attached (by aminoacyl-tRNA synthetases). tRNAs cope with the degeneracy of the genetic code in two manners: having more than one tRNA (with a specific anti-codon) for a particular amino acid; and 'wobble' base-pairing, i.e. permitting non-standard base-pairing at the 3rd anti-codon position. The record is from Rfam by way of RNAcentral. Lineage: Eukaryota; Metazoa; Arthropoda; Arachnida; Araneae; Eresidae.